UGACAGUGUAGGGUGCAAGAACUAAAAGGGCAUAAAUGCUGCACUAAGGUUCUAGAGAAAAUCCUGGAUAGGUGGGCAGGAUGUAACAGAGUCAAAUUCCCCACAGGAAGCCUCUAAGUGAGCUACUUGUAAAGUAUGGUCUGCCAUAACUUCAGAAAUAAAAUCCACAGAGGGCUCUUAUGAAAUGAAGAAAUGAGCUUCAGAGCAGAGACUUCUAAAUAAUAAGUUUUGUUAAUGGUUUUUCAGUUUGGCAAUUUAUGUUUGUUUGUUUGCUUAGAUGGGGGCCUCAUGGGGACUUAGGCUUGUGAAUCAAUUUCCAGACUUGAGCCAGUUUGCAGAUCCAGAACCUCUUGAAUGAAAGGGAGGCCAGGCUCUCCUGAGGAAGAAUAUUUAUACAAAACUUAAAUGUUUUACUGUUAGCCUUUUCCCAGUCUUUCUCCAGAGGGAAACUGUACAGAGUAACUGGGGAAAGGAAACCUCCCAGCUAAGUGGAGGCUUAUGGGGGUCAGGUGAUUAAUGGAGGUUUUGUCAAUAUCCUACUCACAGAGGUCCAGUAUGUCCUCAAAUUCAUAUCAUGAUUAUUUGCCUAGAUAUACUUAGAUGUUGGCAGGACUCUCACAUUGGUCUCCCGACCUGUGAAGUGUGACUAUUAUGGUUGGAAAGGCUAAAUGGAAGCCUUUACAGAUGUUUCAGCCAAGGAAAAUAGUGUUUUAAAAACAGUAUUGCAUCCUUGGAGGAAUUGUGGAAAUUAAUGUCAUCAAGGACUUGAAAUAUGCAUGUAAAGAUGCAGGGGUGGUGGUUCCCACCAUAUCUCCCUUUAACUCUCCUAUCUUGCCACCACAGAAGACAUAUGGAUUGUGGAGAGAGACAGUUGACUAUCAUAAACUCAAUCAAGUAGUGAAUCUGAUUGUAGCUUCUAUGUAAGAUAUGGUGUCCUUGCUUGAGCAGAUUAACAGCUGGUACAUGGUGUGCUAGAUAGUUCUACGUCACCUUGACACAAACUAAAAUCAUCUGAGAGGAGACUAAAGUAAGAAAAGGAAAAUGUCUCCAUAAUAUCGGGCUGCAGGCAAGCCUCUAGGCCACUUCAGUAGUGAUUGAUGGGGUAGGCACAGCCCAUUGUGUUCCUGCAUUCAAUAAGAAGGCAGGCUAACAACCUACGAGGAGCAAGCUAGUAAACAGCACUCUGCCACGGCCUCUGCAUCAGCUUCUGCCCCAGGUUUGGACCCAGCUGUGUUUCUGCCCUGACUUCCUUCAGUGAUAGACUAGUAUGUGGAAGUAUAAGCCAAAUACCAUCCCUAAAACUUGCCUUUGCUCACGAUAUCUCAUCCUAGCAAUGGUAUCCUUAACUAAAACAAGAGAUAAACGGCAAAAGGCAGCAAUCAAGAUAAACCACUUUGAUUUCUUAGUAAAACUCAGGGUUUUUUUUUUUGUUGUUGUUGUUUGUUUUUUGUUUAUUCUGUUGCCUGUUUUUCUCCUUGGGUGUGUCUCUCUCCAUAUCCUGAUAUUUGACAGACUGGCCUUUUAGAAAAUUGCUCUGGGAAUUUCUUCCAAGUAUUUGCUUGAUUUUCUUCUGUUCUCCAUCACAAAAAAGUAUUACCAUGUAUGAUGGAGAAUUGAUAAAAUUUCUGUCUUCCUGUAAAUGCUCGUUGUGUGUGGGCUACAUAAAAUAUUUGAACUAUUUCUUA
Molecule: long non-coding RNA, 1685 nt
Organism: Meriones unguiculatus (Mongolian gerbil)
Lineage: Eukaryota; Metazoa; Chordata; Mammalia; Rodentia; Muridae
Exons: 2
Source: RefSeq, a predicted model, not a curated record